This 376-nucleotide ribosomal RNA is filed under the name uncultured Verrucomicrobiota bacterium. RNAcentral describes it as "bacterial SSU rRNA". It matches the Rfam family "Bacterial small subunit ribosomal RNA", at positions 521 to 896 of the family's 1533-position model. The record is from RNAcentral. Lineage: Bacteria; Pseudomonadati; Verrucomicrobiota.
UAAUACGGAGACCUCGAGCGUUACUCGGAUUCACUGGGCGUAAAGGGUGCGUAGGCGGUCGCGUGUGUCAGGUGUGAAAUCCCGGGGCUCAACCCCGGAACUGCGCUUGAAACUACGCGACUUGAGUCUCGGAGAGGGUAGUGGAAUUUCGGGUGUAGCGGUGAAAUGCGUAGAUAUCCGAAGGAACACCAGUGGCGAAGGCGACUACCUGGACGAGUACUGACGCUGAGGCACGAAAGCGUGGGUAGCGAAAGGGAUUAGAUACCCCUGUAGUCCACGCCGUAAACGUUGCGCACUAGGUCUGGGGGGGUCUACCCCCUCGGGGCCCCAGCUAACGCGUUAAGUGUGCCGCCUGAGGACUACGGCCGCAAGGCUA